RNAcentral lists this transfer RNA (72 nucleotides) under Pedobacter changchengzhani. It matches the Rfam family "tRNA". Rfam says of the family: Transfer RNA (tRNA) molecules are approximately 80 nucleotides in length. Their secondary structure includes four short double-helical elements and three loops (D, anti-codon, and T loops). Lineage: Bacteria; Pseudomonadati; Bacteroidota; Sphingobacteriia; Sphingobacteriales; Sphingobacteriaceae. The record is from Rfam by way of RNAcentral.
GGUCCCGUAGUUCAACGGAUAGAAUAGAAGUUUCCUAAACUUUAGAUGCGAGUUCGAUUCUCACCGGGACCA